RNAcentral lists this ribosomal RNA (257 nucleotides) under uncultured bacterium. RNAcentral describes it as "partial small subunit ribosomal RNA". It matches the Rfam family "Bacterial small subunit ribosomal RNA", at positions 26 to 285 of the family's 1533-position model. The record is from RNAcentral.
AGGACGAACGCUGGCGGCGUGCUUCAUACAUGCAAGUCGAGCGGAAAGGCCCUUCGGGGUACUCGAGCGGCGAACGGGUGAGUAACACGUGAGCAACCUGCCCUUGGCUCUGGGAUAACCCCUCCGAAAAGAGGUGCUAAUACCGGAUAUGACUUCCUUCGACAUCGUCGGAAGUGGAAAGUUUUUCGGCCGAAGGAUGGGCUCGCGGCCUAUCAGCUUGUUGGUGAGGUAACGGCCCACCAAGGCUUCGACGGGUA